This 91-nucleotide transfer RNA is filed under the name Chloroflexota bacterium. Its description in RNAcentral is "Chloroflexi bacterium tRNA-Leu". It matches the Rfam family "tRNA". Rfam says of the family: Transfer RNA (tRNA) molecules are approximately 80 nucleotides in length. Their secondary structure includes four short double-helical elements and three loops (D, anti-codon, and T loops). Further hydrogen bonds mediate the characteristic L-shaped molecular structure. tRNAs have two regions of fundamental functional importance: the anti-codon, which is responsible for specific mRNA codon recognition, and the 3' end, to which the tRNAs corresponding amino acid is attached (by aminoacyl-tRNA synthetases). tRNAs cope with the degeneracy of the genetic code in two manners: having more than one tRNA (with a specific anti-codon) for a particular amino acid; and 'wobble' base-pairing, i.e. permitting non-standard base-pairing at the 3rd anti-codon position. The record is from RNAcentral. Lineage: Bacteria; Bacillati; Chloroflexota.
GGAGAAGUGGCAGAGCGGCUUAUUGCAGCCGACUUAAAGUCGGCCGAGGCGUCACAGCACCUCCGGGGUUCAAAUCCCCCUCCCUCCGCCA